This 164-nucleotide small nuclear RNA is filed under the name Carlito syrichta (Philippine tarsier). RNAcentral's name for it is "U1 spliceosomal RNA (ENSTSYG00000037504.1)". It matches the Rfam family "U1 spliceosomal RNA". From Rfam's summary of the family: U1 is a small nuclear RNA (snRNA) component of the spliceosome (involved in pre-mRNA splicing). Its 5' end forms complementary base pairs with the 5' splice junction, thus defining the 5' donor site of an intron. The record is from Rfam by way of RNAcentral. Lineage: Eukaryota; Metazoa; Chordata; Mammalia; Primates; Tarsiidae.
AUACUAACCUGGCAGGGGAGAUACCAUGAUCACGAAGGUGGUUUUCCCAGGGCGAGGCUUAUCCAUUGCACUCCGGAUGUGCUGACCCCUGCGAUUUCCCCAAAUGUGGGAAACUCGACUGCAUAAUUUGUGGUAGUGGGGGACUGCGUUCGCGCUCUCCCCUA